AUGCCGUGCGAGCUGCGUCACGAGCUGAUCGUGUGGGAGAUCCUGGUCCGGCUGCCCGCCAAGUCGCUGCUGCGGCUACGCUGCGUCUGCAAGGCCUGGCGCGACACCAUCUCCGGUGCCGACCCCUCAUUCUCUCAGGCGCACCUCUACCGACUUCAUCAGCAAGUCAGGAAGCCCUGCAGCCUGCUCAUCGCACCACGUAUCAGAAGCGAAAGGAUCAAAGGGAAGAUCGCCACCCCACGACUUUACCUGUGGGAGGAGAGCCGGCAGGGCGUCGCGACCCUCUUGCACGACACCUCCUCGUUCACCGAUGAGGAGGCCAAGACAAGACAUGGGUUCGGCCACUGCGACGGGCUCGUGCUCCUGCCCGCCGAGGAUGCCGUGUGUGUGCUCAACCCAGCCACAAGCCGAAUCAUCGAGCUCCCUUGGAGCCCCAACAACGUUGCACCACGCCGGCACUUGGUGGCACAAGGACACCAAGCAUUCGGCUUCGGGCGUGACCAUCGCUCCAACGCCUACAAGGUCGCCCGCUUCUUCUACCAUGAAACUCGUGCCAUGGGUAGCCAUGGGAUGGAGGUGUUCACUAUCGGAAAGGACCAAUACUGGCGUGAGACGGCUGCACAACCACCGUACCCGUUUCUAGCAGGACGGAUUGCGACCUUCAUCAAGGGUUCCCUGAUUUGGACAGUUGACCAGUACUCACUUAUGUAUGAAUGUAAUCCCUCGCUUCUACCUCAUCAUGCAAGUAUGACGUGCUUUGUCCGGUUUAGUCUUGAAGACGAACCAUUCAGCAUCAUGACGGGUCCUCCAUGGUUUGAAGCGGGCGACUAUUUAGAAUCCAGAUUAGCUAAGUUGAACGGUGAGCUAGCCAUCCAUCAUCUAGGGCCCAACUAUGAAUCUGUUGAGAUAUGGAUGUGCAAUGAUGCGGAAAGCAACAACCCGCCACGGUGGGAGCAGCACCAUGUUUUCAACUUCCGGGCUUAUGUUCGUCUGAUAGCUACAUUCAACGAUGAGAUAGUGUACCAAGACGGAUCAUCGUAUCUCUGGCGUCAAACUCAUCAAGGAAAUAAAUUUAUGGCUAUUACCACAACUGCUGUGCUCGGUGCUCGGUGGCUCGGCGCGUCAUUGACUGUCGCUCUAAGGAGGGGGCUGCUCGAGUUCCAGGUUGGGCCAGAUAACGGGUUCACCUUCGAGCACGUUCAGUGGACCAAGGUUGGUGGGUUCAUUUUCAAGGCCGACCGCCACGGACCUGCUGUGCACGACGUCGUGUUCCAUGACUUAGACACACAGCGCUACCUUAACAACGCGCGCCACGGGAACGACAAGAUCAUCCUAUUGCUGGGCACCAUGGGCAGCCCGCAGCUGCUGAUGCUAGACAAGAACAAAUUAAUUGGCAUCGUGCGGUUAGGAAAAAUGAAGAUCUCUGUGAAGACCCUCACUGGAAAAACAAUUGUCAUCGAGGUGGCGUCCUCUGACACGAGUGACAACAUCAAGGACAAAAUUCACGAGAAGGAGGGCAUUCCCCCAGACCACCAACGACUUGUCUUUAAUGGAAGAAACCUUGAUGCUGAGUGGACAGUUUCAGAUUACAAUAUUCAGGAGCAGUCCACCCUGUACCUUGUCCUGCGCCUUGGUGGUCCUUGUACCGUUUGUUGUUAUAGGUAUAUUAAUGUGCAUAUGCUAGCUGGCAAGACCAUCAGCAUCGAGGUAGAUCCAAUGGACACGGUCGACACUAUCAGGGAAAAGAUUUGUGCUCCCCAGAGGCUCUUCUUUGCUGGCAAGCAGCUUGAGGAUGGACGGACAAUUGCAGACUACGAAUUUGGGAACAAUAUCACUCUGCACCUCGACUUUGGAAUGCAGAUUUUCGUGAAGACUGCCAUUGGUAAGACCACCACUCUCCUGGUGGAGCCAUCUGACACGAUCGACAGCAUUAAGGAGAAGGUUCAGGGCAAGCAAAGGAUCAUCUUCGAUGGGAAACAGCUAGAUGCUACGCCGACACAAAUCGUACCAGCGGCAGCGAACAGGAUGGACGAUGGACGCUCCAAGUUGGUCCAUCGACCGGAGACGAUGCCGUUCCUGUCUCACGAGCUGAUCGUGUGGAAGAUCCUGGUCCGGCUGCCCGCCAAGUCCCUGCUGCAGCUACGGUGCGUCUGCAAGGCCUGGCGCGACAUCAUCUCCGGCGCCGACCCCUCCUUCUCUCAGGCGCACCUCUACCACCUUCAUCAGCAAGUCAAGAAGCCCUACAGCCUGCUCAUCGCGCCACGUAUCAAAAGCGAAAGUGACAUGGAAGAUCCCCGCGACACAAGAAGACCCUGGGCCGACAUGAAGGUUACCUCCCCGGGGCUGUACCUGUGGGAGGAGAGCCAGAAGGACAUCGCGACCCUCUUAUUCGACAUCUCCUCGUUCCCCACCGAUGGGGUGGCGACAAGGCAUGGGCUCGCGCACUGUGACGGGCUUGUCUUGCUACCCGCCGAGGAUACUGUGCAUGUGCUCAACCCGGCCACACGUCAAAUCCGUGUGCUGCCUUGGAGCCCGAAUGGUGUUGCGCCGCGUCGGUGCCCCGAAGGUGAAGGCCACCAGGCAUUCGGCUUCGGGCGCGACCAUCGCACAAAUGCGUACAAGGUCGCUCGCUUCUUCCACCGUGAAACUCGUGGCAUUGGCGGUCUCGGGAUGGAGGGCUCCUUGAUCUGGAUGAUCGACCAUUACUCGCCUAUGUAUGAUUACUCGCAUCUUGAUGAUGCUGCACGCAUGCCUUGCUUUGUCCGUUUUAACCUUGAAGACGAGUCAUUCAGCGUCAUGACGGGUCCUCCAUGGUACGAAGGGGCCGACUAUCUUGACACCAACUUUGCCGAGGUGAACGGGAAGCUAGCCAUGCCUCAUCCAGGGCCCAACAGUGAAUUGAUCGAGAUAUGGAUGUGCGAUGAUGUGGAAGGCAACAACCCGCCACGGUGGCAUCAGCGGCAUGUGCUCGAUUACCCAUUUUCUAUGCGUCUGAUUGCCACGUUUAAUGAUGAGAUAGUGUAUCAAGAUACAGUAGACUAUCUCUGGCGUCGAACUCGUAAAGGAGAAAAGGCUAUUGCUCGCAUGAAUGUCUUGAGAUAUUAUAACCCCGAUAUGGGCACGCUUGUUGAGUACUCAUGGAGGACUGUCAAAAGCUUUGAUGGCUCCUUGAUCUGGACAGUCAACCUGGAUUUGCUUAUGUAUGGUGAAUCGUCUCUAGAUGAUGUUGCAAACAAGCCGUGCUUUGUCCUCUUUAGCCUUGAAGAUGAGACGUUUAGCGUCAUGAAAGGUCCUCCAUGGUAUCAAGGGGAUGACUGUUUUGACUCCAGCUUAGCCGAGUUGAAUGGGGUGCUAGCUCUGCCUCGUCAAGAGCUCAACAAAUUAGUCGAGAUAUGGAUGUGUGAUGAUGUUCAAGGCAACAAGGCGCCACGGUGGGAACCGCGGCAUGUCCUCGACUACCGGUUUUCUGUUCGUCUGAUUGCCAUGUCUGAUGACGAAAUAGUGUAUCAAGAUGGAUCAGACUAUCUCCGGCGUCAUACUUAUCAAGGAGCUAAGAUUAUGGUUCGCAUGAAUCUCUUGGAGUAUUAUGACCCCAAUAUGGGCAUGCUUGUUGGAUACUCGCGGAAGGAUGUCAUGCGGUUUGAUGUAAUGUCUUACAUUCCCACCCUGGUUCAAAUCUAG
RNAcentral lists this ribosomal RNA (3681 nucleotides) under Triticum aestivum (bread wheat). RNAcentral describes it as "partial small subunit ribosomal RNA". The record is from RNAcentral. Lineage: Eukaryota; Viridiplantae; Streptophyta; Magnoliopsida; Poales; Poaceae.